This 66-nucleotide transfer RNA is filed under the name Cambaroides schrenckii. RNAcentral describes it as "tRNA-Trp". Lineage: Eukaryota; Metazoa; Arthropoda; Malacostraca; Decapoda; Cambaridae. The record is from RNAcentral.
AAGACUUUAAGUUAAGUAAACUAGUAGCCUUCAAAGUUACCAAAAAAAGAGCUCUUUUAGGUCUUA